CGAACGAGAGCGACCGGUGUUUGCACUGGUCAAUCUAGUGGCGAACGGGUGAGUAACACGUGGGUAACCUGCCCAUCAGAGGGGGAUAACAUCCGGAAACGGAUGCUAAAACCGCAUAGGUCUUCGAACCGCAUGGUUUGAAGAGGAAAAGAGGCGCAAGCUUCUGCUGAUGGAUGGACCCGCGGUGCAUUAGCUAGUUGGUGAGGUAACGGCUCACCAAGGCCGUGAUGCAUAGCCGACCUGAGAGGGUGAUCGGCCACAUUGGGACUGAGACACGGCCCAAACUCCUACGGGAGGCAGCAGUAGGGAAUCUUCCGCAAUGGACGCAAGUCUGACGGAGCAACGCCGCGUGAGUGAAGAAGGUUUUCGGAUCGUAAAACUCUGUUGUUAGAGAAGAACAAGUGCUAGAGUAACUGUUAGCGCCUUGACGGUAUCUAACCAGAAAGCCACGGCUAACUACGUGCCAGCAGCCGCGGUAAUACGUAGGUGGCAAGCGUUGUCCGGAUUUAUUGGGCGUAAAGCGAGCGCAGGCGGUUCCUUAAGUCUGAUGUGAAAGCCCCCGGCUCAACCGGGGAGGGUCAUUGGAAACUGGGGAACUUGAGUGCAGAAGAGGAGAGUGGAAUUCCAUGUGUAGCGGUGAAAUGCGUAGAUAUAUGGAGGAACACCAGUGGCGAAGGCGACUCUCUGGUCUGUAACUGACGCUGAGGCUCGAAAGCGUGGGUAGCAAACAGGAUUAGAUACCCUGGUAGUCCACGCCGUAAACGAUGAGUGCUAAGUGUUGGAGGGUUUCCGCCCUUCAGUGCUGCAGUAAACGCAUUAAGCACUCCGCCUGGGGAGUACGACCGC
Molecule: ribosomal RNA, 846 nt
Filed under: uncultured Granulicatella sp.
Lineage: Bacteria; Bacillati; Bacillota; Bacilli; Lactobacillales; Carnobacteriaceae
Description: bacterial SSU rRNA
Rfam family: Bacterial small subunit ribosomal RNA
Source: RNAcentral